UGAAUUUUUUCACUUGACCUCAGUUUUGUUAAAAAUACAGAUUUAUACAGGCUGGGGUAAAUGAAUGGGUAGAAAAAUCUGACUCUAUUCACUUAUCUCCCAGCCUACAAAA
RNAcentral lists this small nucleolar RNA (112 nucleotides) under Myotis davidii. Lineage: Eukaryota; Metazoa; Chordata; Mammalia; Chiroptera; Vespertilionidae. The record is from RNAcentral.